UGUUACCUUUGCUACCUUGCGCGCGCCAUGUUGUUUCUCACCUCCAAGGCCUGAUUGCCGUCCCUGUCAGCAGACUAUGGACUGAAACCUCUACAAAUGCAUGAGGAACUUCACUGAGUGCUGACACUAUGCUCUUGGACUGGCAGCCUCUGGAACUGCAUAGGAAAGAUACUUCUGGAAUGAAGGAUUUUUUUUCUGAGAAAGAUCAGCCCUGCUUCAGAGGAAAAGUUUGUUUGCAGAUUCAAUGUGAACUUCCUCUACCACACCCAUACUAAGUGGCUCAAGUGUACAGAGUUUGUCCUGGGAAAAUGUAUAGAUGCCAGCUGCAGUUUUACCUUUGGAAAGAAUGCCAAAUCGGUAAUCACAACAAAGCCUCUCCAAACAAACCAUGGUUUACUCAUCAUCUAUAUAAGGCAAAGGAAAAAGAAAAAGGUAAAAUUAUGAACUGGACCUCAGGACUACUGGAUUUUGCUCCAUACUUGUUCGCUAGACAGCUGUAUGGCUUUAGCAGCUUCGAAGGCGAGGAUUGUGCUAAAACUUCAGCCAUUACAGAACUGGAUUAUGGACACACAUGACCUAUUCAAGUAAUUCCCAAACCCAGCUGCUGAUCAGUAUCACUAGGGAGCUCCUAGUGAUACUCCAUGUACCCGCAGAAAUUGAUUCAAUGUCUGUGGC
RNAcentral lists this long non-coding RNA (675 nucleotides) under Heterocephalus glaber (naked mole-rat). RNAcentral's name for it is "lncRNA (ENSHGLG00100042924.1)". Lineage: Eukaryota; Metazoa; Chordata; Mammalia; Rodentia; Bathyergidae. The record is from RNAcentral.